AUGACCUUUUAAAUGAAGCUGAACCUCACCUGUCUUGAAUAACACUUGCUGUUUACUGAGAAGUAGCCCUGCUCAUUUCUCUUUGGCGUUCUCUCUGGCCACCAGGUUUUCUGGGACUUGGUCUUUAUUUUAAACAGUUUGUAGAUAGAGACGAUGGAAUUUUGAAGUUAAUAGAAAGAAGCUGCAGUGACACUAUUAAUCCAAGAAAAAGUCUGCCAAACCUUACUUUACACUUUGAGAAAAUGUUUUGCUUGUUUUCAGUCUGGCCUCAUCACAGUCAUUUUGAACACACACACACACACACACACACAUACACUGUAGUGGGUUGAAUGGUGGCCCCUCAAAAGAUACAUUCACCUGGAACUUGUGAAUGUGACUCUAUUUAGAAAAAUGGUUUUUGCAGAUCUAAUAAGGAUCCUGAAAUGAGAUCAACCUGGAUUAUCCAGGUGGGCCCUAUAGCUAAUGACAAGUGUAGUAUAAGAGACAAGAGAAGACACGGGAGGGCAGAAGGCAAUGUGAAGACAGAGGCAAAGACUGGAGUGAUGCAACUGCAAGCCAAAGAAUCCCUGGAGCUGUCAGAGAUUGGAAGAGGCGAGGAAGCUUCUCCCCUGAGUCUUCAGAGGGAGCACAAGCCUGCCGACACGGUGAUUUUGGACUUCUGGCCUCCAGAACGAUGAACUGGUUACCCCGGAAACCAGGGAAGGAAAAAAAAACCGAUCCAAGUGCAGUGUUAAUAAACAGCUUAGCGUGCAAAAAUAUAAUAGAAGAACGUUCCAGGUUACUCUGCUGCUGUCUUGGUUUUGGGAUGGGUGCAGGACACACUUGGCGCAUCGAGCUAUUGCCGCCUACUCUGUUGGGCCUGUCUCAUCUUACAAGGCUGGGGAGUCGGCUUUGUAAUAGAUUUUUGGCAUGGUGGAUCCCGUAGCAGACUCGAGGAGAAAGGGGCUGCUCUUUCCCUGUGUGAGGAAGGCUGGAGCUACUUCGUAUACUACUGGGAUUCCCUUUCAAGGAAUAUCUUGGACUAAACUGUCUUUUUCCUGAUGGAUUACGUUUUGGAUCAUCCUUUACCAAGAAUAUAAUCAUGGGCUGUUAACAUUUUUUUGGACAUUCAUUUGGCUGGUAACUGCAGUGUUUUGGGAAACCUGUUUUCGUUUAAUUUCAUUUCCUUUUUCCUGUUAAGCGCAUCAUUGGGCUAAAAGAGGAGAACCUCAGAUUUUUGGAAGUCUUUGUGUUUUGUGCUGCUUCUCAAUUCAUAUUGGAUACCAGAGGAGGAAAGAAUUGGAACGCUCUCAUGACUUCUGUGGUUCCCUCCCCUGGAAAGCCAGAAUCCACACCCCGACCUGCCUUAGGUGGUUAGCACUAACAUUGAAACAAUAGUCAUUUAAUACUAUCAUAACAUUACAUAAGUCAUUUCCUCCCUUCUAGAACGUGGAGGGAUAUGUGAGAAGCAAAGAAAAAUCUGUGACCCUUCUACUCAGAUUUUCCACAGGCCUCCAAUUACCCUUUCAUCUGUACCAAAAUAUGGAGGGUGAUGUUAAAAACUUGUGUGAGAAUCUGGCAGAGUUUUGUACGUUAAUGUUGUCUCUGGUCUGGUUUCUAAAACCAUUCUGGUAAUUUGGAAGAUUUGCCAGCAAGAGCCAAUUGUUCAACAGGAACUGUCAGUUUAAUUCGUAGACGGUAGCUCUCUGUGCUUGGUUUGGUGCUGGUUUUAAAGAAUACAAAACACGCACAGCAGGAUUCCUGCUUACUCCUUUUUGGCAAAUGUGUUUGGCAUCCACAUGACAAAUAAAUUAGUAGGAUCUGUAGAAAACACAGGAAUUUUAUGAUACAAGAGAAACAUGAUGGAAAGGAAUGGAAAAAAGUCUUAGGGAGUGAAAUUCACUCUCAGACAUAACCUUGUGGAUCUGAUGGGAGAUAGCUUUUCCUUUGCCACCAAACAACAGGUAAAAUAGACUGAUUUCAUUUAUUCAUUCAUCUAACAAUGAUCUGUUGAGCACCUACCAUGUGACAGCAUUAUUCUUAAACUAAUGAUAUAAAAGUGAGUAAAACAAACUACUGAUCUCAUGAAAUUUUGUCAGUGAAAUCACAUAAUAGUGAAGCUGUGUUCAAUUUUAAUAGAAACAUGUUAUUGUCUCUAAGCU
Molecule: long non-coding RNA, 2141 nt
Filed under: Equus asinus (donkey)
Lineage: Eukaryota; Metazoa; Chordata; Mammalia; Perissodactyla; Equidae
Description: lncRNA (ENSEASG00005030884.1)
Source: RNAcentral